UAUAUUAAACACAUAUUGAAC
Caenorhabditis elegans is the source of this 21-nucleotide non-coding RNA. NCBI's taxonomy places the organism in Eukaryota, Metazoa, Nematoda, Chromadorea, Rhabditida, Rhabditidae. The record is from Ensembl.